RNAcentral lists this ribosomal RNA (253 nucleotides) under uncultured bacterium. RNAcentral describes it as "partial 16S ribosomal RNA". It matches the Rfam family "Bacterial small subunit ribosomal RNA", at positions 524 to 776 of the family's 1533-position model. The record is from RNAcentral.
UACGAAGGGGGCUAGCGUUGCUCGGAAUCACUGGGCGUAAAGCGCACGUAGGCGGACUCUUAAGUCAGGGGUGAAAUCCUGGAGCUCAACUCCAGAACUGCCUUUGAUACUGGGAGUCUUGAGUUCGGGAGAGGUGAGUGGAACUGCGAGUGUAGAGGUGAAAUUCGUAGAUAUUCGCAAGAACACCAGUGGUGAAGGCGGCUCACUGGCCCGAUACUGACGCUGAGGUGCGAAAGCGUGGGGAGCAAACAGG